Molecule: long non-coding RNA, 823 nt
Filed under: Meleagris gallopavo (turkey)
Lineage: Eukaryota; Metazoa; Chordata; Aves; Galliformes; Phasianidae
Description: lncRNA (ENSMGAG00000020701.1)
Source: RNAcentral
GACAUCAUAAGAUUUCUGAAAUGUGUGGGCUUCUUUAUUUCAGACUGUUGUAAACAAUUUGGUGCCUAUCAUGCCCAUAUCUUUAUGUUCCUUAUGCAUACCAUUUACUUCAAUUAAGUAUUUUGAGUUGGCAUAUGCAAAAUUAUUUCACGUUUUUCACAGAUGUUCCCUAUUUUCCCUUUUCUCUUAAGAAUUAAGAAAAACCAGUGAUGUCAACUAUUGCUUAUCCAUUAAAGCAAAAUUACAGAGGGAGAAUGGAGAGGAGUCACAGCACAACAGCACACUUGAAGAAGACUCUGAAGGAGAUAAUGAUUCUGAGGAAUUUUAUUACGGAGGACAGGUUAGCUAUGAUGGAGAACUUCAUAAACACCCACAGCUGGAAGCUGAUUUGAUAGCAGUGAGAGAGAUCUAUGGACCUAACGCAGUAUCUCUCAGGGAUCUGUUGAACUGAAAUCCAUACAGUUUUGUAUGGGCUUAGGAAGUGAAUGAGAUAAAUGUCUAGUUGCCAAACUGUUAACUAUGAAAUUGAGAAUACCUUGGUAGUGUGCUCCCUAAGGCUUCUAAAAUUGGAACAUGGUAUGUAACCUUUCAAAAACUUUAAUGCGUCUAAUUUGUUGAAUCAGUGUUUCAUUAUGACCUCCUUAGGCUCACUGUCGUAGAAAUUGGCAUUUAUGGCUUUUGGCAUGUAGAAAACUUUCAUGCUUCUUGCACUCAAUUACAGUGGAAAAUACUUACGAAUUCUUGGAAAUGAUAAACACAGAAUUAAGCAUUCAGUUUCAUCCUUCUCCAACAGCUCCGCUUCUCUGAUUGCAACAAGCUUAUC